GUGGGGAAUAUUGGGCAAUGGGCGCAAGCCUGACCCAGCAACGCCGCGUGAAGGAAGAAGGCUUUCGGGUUGUAAACUUCUUUUACCAGGGACGAAACAAAUGACGGUACCUGGUGAAUAAGCCACGGCUAACUACGUGCCAGCAGCCGCGGUAAUACGUAGGUGGCGAGCGUUAUCCGGAUUUAUUGGGUGUAAAGGGCGUGUAGGCGGGACAGCAAGUCAGAUGUGAAAACCAGAGGCUCAACCCCUGGCCUGCAUUUGAAACUGUUGUUCUUGAGUGUCGGAGAGGUAAUCGGAAUUCCGUGUGUAGCGGUGAAAUGCGUAGAUAUACGGAGGAACACCAGUGGCGAAGGCGGAUUACUGGACGAUAACUGACGCUGAGGCGCGAAAGCGUGGGGAGCAAACAGGAUUAGAAACCCCGGUAGUCC
This 428-nucleotide ribosomal RNA is filed under the name uncultured bacterium. RNAcentral's name for it is "partial 16S ribosomal RNA". It matches the Rfam family "Bacterial small subunit ribosomal RNA", at positions 354 to 796 of the family's 1533-position model. The record is from RNAcentral.